AGGGACUGCCUCCUUGGGAAGAUGACUUUUGGAUAAAGACUUGAAGCAGAUGAUGGAGCAAGCUUUACAGAUAUCUGGAGGAAGAAUGUUCCAGGCAGAAAAAAAGAGCAAGUUCAAAAAUCUAAGCCUAAGACGAAGGGAGCAUCAUCUUCGUUUUCACCAGCUCAGAGGGCAAAGCAGCUUGUCCCGGGUCACACAGCACGUCUGCAGAGAAACUGGGAGGAUGGUUUCAUGAAGAGGAGGAUCUUACCUAGAGGGAGCUUAGGUAUACAAAUGGUAUACUUUCAGGCAUGGGAGCAAAGUGGAGCUAGUUUAGGGGAUGGGGUAUCAGGUGGACACCCACCUGUAGAAGAGGC
Molecule: long non-coding RNA, 356 nt
Organism: Symphalangus syndactylus (siamang)
Lineage: Eukaryota; Metazoa; Chordata; Mammalia; Primates; Hylobatidae
Source: RefSeq, a predicted model, not a curated record